GACGAACGCUGGCGGCGUGCCUAAUACAUGCAAGUAGAACGCUGAAGGAGGAGCUUGCUUCUCUGGAUGAGUUGCGAACGGGUGAGUAACGCGUAGGUAACCUGCCUGGUAGCGGGGGAUAACUAUUGGAAACGAUAGCUAAUACCGCAUAAGAGUAGAUGUCGCAUGACAUUUGCUUAAAAGGUGCAAUUGCAUCACUACCAGAUGGACCUGCGUUGUAUUAGCUAGUUGGUGAGGUAACGGCUCACCAAGGCAACGAUACAUAGCCGACCUGAGAGGGUGAUCGGCCACAAUGGGACUGAGAUACGGCCCAGACUCCUACGGGAGGCAGCAGUGGGGAAUAUUGCACAAUGGGCGGAAGCCUGAUGCAGCAACGCCGCGUGCGGGAUGACGGCCUUCGGGUUGUAAACCGCUUUCGCCUGUGACGAAGCGUGAGUGACGGUAAUGGGUAAAGAAGCACCGGCUAACUACGUG
RNAcentral lists this ribosomal RNA (474 nucleotides) under uncultured bacterium. RNAcentral's name for it is "partial 16S ribosomal RNA". It matches the Rfam family "Bacterial small subunit ribosomal RNA", at positions 28 to 507 of the family's 1533-position model. The record is from RNAcentral.